RNAcentral lists this transfer RNA (88 nucleotides) under Candidatus Pacearchaeota archaeon. RNAcentral describes it as "tRNA-Ser". It matches the Rfam family "tRNA". Rfam says of the family: Transfer RNA (tRNA) molecules are approximately 80 nucleotides in length. Their secondary structure includes four short double-helical elements and three loops (D, anti-codon, and T loops). Lineage: Archaea; Nanobdellati. The record is from RNAcentral. RNAcentral also lists the same sequence under 1 other name.
GGAGAGGUCGCAUAGUGGCCGAGUGCGCUCGCUUGGAAAGCGAGUAUAUCGAAAGGUAUCGUGGGUUCAAAUCCCACCCUCUCCGCCA